GAAUGCGAGGGUGAUCUGGUUGUCACAUCUGUCACAUUGAGCACCAAAGUUGAUUCAGCUGAUCUGGUUGGCUAGGUGGAUGUCCCCUUCUUCCCUUAUUGCUCCAUGGCUGUCCCUCCUGACCUAUGUGCUCAAUUCAAGAGGACAACCUUUCCUGAUAGAGGAGGACUAUUCUUCAUUCAAGGUUAUAUGAGAAACUGCGCUCCCUCGCUUCAGCCUCCAAACAGGCUCUCAUGAAAGGUUGCUGGUUAAAGAAAGGACUUUCCAAAUGUUCCGGGAAUCACACUCUGUCAGCUCCUGUGGUG
RNAcentral lists this small nuclear RNA (305 nucleotides) under Castor canadensis (American beaver). RNAcentral's name for it is "7SK RNA (ENSCCNG00000026897.1)". It matches the Rfam family "7SK RNA". From Rfam's summary of the family: 7SK was discovered as an abundant small nuclear RNA in the mid-70s but a possible function has only recently been suggested. Two independent studies have found that 7SK RNA binds the CDK9/cyclin T complex (known as elongation factor P-TEFb). P-TEFb activates transcription by phosphorylating the C-terminal domain of RNA polymerase II. Lineage: Eukaryota; Metazoa; Chordata; Mammalia; Rodentia; Castoridae. The record is from Rfam by way of RNAcentral.